RNAcentral lists this ribosomal RNA (251 nucleotides) under Ureaplasma parvum. Its description in RNAcentral is "partial 16S rRNA". It matches the Rfam family "Bacterial small subunit ribosomal RNA", at positions 599 to 853 of the family's 1533-position model. Lineage: Bacteria; Bacillati; Mycoplasmatota; Mycoplasmoidales; Mycoplasmoidaceae. The record is from RNAcentral.
AUCUAGAUGCUUAACGUCUAGCUGUAUCAAAAACUGUAAACCUAGAGUGUAGUAGGGAGUUGGGGAACUCCAUGUGGAGCGGUAAAAUGCGUAGAUAUAUGGAAGAACACCGGUGGCGAAGGCGCCAACUUGGACUAUCACUGACGCUUAGGCUCGAAAGUGUGGGGAGCAAAUAGGAUUAGAUACCCUAGUAGUCCACACCGUAAACGAUCAUCAUUAAAUGUCGGCCCGAAUGGGUCGGUGUUGUAGCU